This 253-nucleotide ribosomal RNA is filed under the name uncultured bacterium. RNAcentral describes it as "partial 16S ribosomal RNA". It matches the Rfam family "Bacterial small subunit ribosomal RNA", at positions 524 to 776 of the family's 1533-position model. The record is from RNAcentral.
UACGUAGGGGGCGAGCGUUGUCCGGAAUCAUUGGGCGUAAAGCGCGUGUAGGCGGUUCGGUAAGUCCGCUGUGAAAGUCGGGGGCUCAACCCUCGAAAGCCGGUGGAUACUGUCGGGCUUGAGUACGGAAGAGGCGAGUGGAAUUCCUGGUGUAGCGGUGAAAUGCGCAGAUAUCAGGAGGAACACCAAUGGCGAAGGCAGCUCGCUGGGACGGUACUGACGCUGAGACGCGAAAGCGUGGGGAGCAAACAGG